GACGAACGCUGGCGGCGUGCCUAAUACAUGCAAGUCGAGCGCAGGAAGCCGUCUGAACCCUUCGGGGGGACGACGGUGGAAUGAGCGGCGGACGGGUGAGUAACACGUAAAGAACCUGCCCAUAGGUCUGGGAUAACCACGAGAAAUCGGGGCUAAUACCGGAUGUGUCAUCGGACCGCAUGGUCCGCUGAUGAAAGGCGCUCCGGCGUCGCCCAUGGAUGGCUUUGCGGUGCAUUAGCUAGUUGGUGGGGUAACGGCCCACCAAGGCGACGAUGCAUAGCCGACCUGAGAGGGUGAUCGGCCACACUGGGACUGAGACACGGCCCAGACUCCUACGGGAGGCAGCAGUAGGGAAUCUUCCACAAUGGACGAAAGUCUGCUGGAGCAACGCCGCGUGAACGAUGAAGGCUUUCGGGUCGUAAAGUUCUGUUGUAAGGGAAGAACAAGUGCCGCAGGCAAUGGCGGCACCUUGACGGUACCUUGCGAGAAAGCCACGGCUAACUACGUGCCAGUAGCCGCCGUAA
This 524-nucleotide ribosomal RNA is filed under the name uncultured bacterium. RNAcentral describes it as "partial 16S ribosomal RNA". It matches the Rfam family "Bacterial small subunit ribosomal RNA", at positions 28 to 523 of the family's 1533-position model. The record is from RNAcentral.